This 577-nucleotide ribosomal RNA is filed under the name uncultured Aquicella sp. RNAcentral describes it as "bacterial SSU rRNA". It matches the Rfam family "Bacterial small subunit ribosomal RNA", at positions 790 to 1368 of the family's 1533-position model. The record is from RNAcentral. Lineage: Bacteria; Pseudomonadati; Pseudomonadota; Gammaproteobacteria; Legionellales; Coxiellaceae.
GUAGUCCACGCUGUAAACGAUGAGUACUAAAGGUUGGUAGGGGAACCUAUCAGUCUUGAAGCUAACGCGAUAAGUACUCCGCCUGGGAAGUACGGCCGCAAGGUUGAAACUCAAAUGAAUUGACGGGGGCCCGCACAAGCGGUGGAGCAUGUGGUUUAAUUCGAUGCAACGCGAAGAACCUUACCUACCCUUGACAUCCUGCGAAUCCUGAUGAAAGUUGGGAGUGCCGAAAGGAGCGCAGAGACAGGUGCUGCAUGGCUGUCGUCAGCUCGUGUUGUGAGAUGUUGGGUUAAGUCCCGUAACGAGCGCAACCCUUGUCCUUAGUUGCCAGCAUUAAGUUGGGGACUCUAAGGAGACUGCCGGUGAGGAACCGGAGGAAGGCGGGGACGACGUCAAGUCAUCAUGGCCUUUAUGGGUAGGGCUACACACGUGCUACAAUGGGACGUACAGAGAGUCGCGAACCCGCGAGGGGGAGCCAAUCUCCUAAAGCGUCUCGUAGUCCGGAUUGGAGUCUGCAACUCGACUCCAUGAAGUUGGAAUCGCUAGUAAUCGCGAAUCAGCAGUGUCGCGGUGAAUA